RNAcentral lists this long non-coding RNA (210 nucleotides) under Oryza brachyantha (malo sina). RNAcentral describes it as "long non-coding RNA (OBRA_LNC001544)". Lineage: Eukaryota; Viridiplantae; Streptophyta; Magnoliopsida; Poales; Poaceae. The record is from RNAcentral.
GCCUCAGCGACCAUGUCGAUGGCUCCGUCGAGCUCGCUCCGUGCCCUUGUCGCCCUCUCCCCUAUCCUCCCCUCCGGUUCCUCCUCUCCCUCUGCUCGCCCAGGGCUCCUUGGAGUGGCGGCACCGUUGGCGUACGCGCAGGCGCGGCGGCGGAGGGGGCCGUCGGUCGUGGCGCGGGCGGCGGCGGCGCCGUCGGACGCGGAGUGGCUG